Taeniopygia guttata (zebra finch) is the source of this 1053-nucleotide non-coding RNA. NCBI's taxonomy places the organism in Eukaryota, Metazoa, Chordata, Aves, Passeriformes, Estrildidae. The record is from RefSeq and is a predicted model, not a curated record.
UUAUAACAUUGGGUUCUUUGCUGCAAUGGCAUUUUCAUUUGGCAUUUUUGUUCUGAAUUUGUUGUGUCCGAAUGGCUAACAGAAAGGUUGUAAGGAGGUAGCCAGAGUUGGCAUAUUAUAUGCUGUAAGCUAAAACUCUGAAAUGUACAGUAGUGUAAAAUAGUGGGGAGGUGUUAUUAUGAGCAGAGAUAAGGGAAACUAGGCUCAAAUUGAUGGAUUUAUUUGCUCUUUUUACUAGUUCCUCAGCUGUGGGAAAUCUGCAUCAUUCCAUCUCGUGAGGAUAUUGCAGUGUGUCUAAACUGGCCACAACAUGUGUGUAACUGUUUCAGGGAGAGCUGCUUGCAGUGGCCUAAAGGAGGGCCAGGAAGAGAAUAAACCUUCUUUCCAUUUCUCCAAGUUCUUCUGAAAUGCUUGUUUGGCAAUUGUUGAGAAGACAGAAGAAAAGGUCCAGGUGGAGAACUUUCCCAUGUAAUACUUCCUCUGGGUUGCAUUUUCCUUGCUCUUGCUCCACACUUCAGGCUAGGUACAACACAAAUCAAGAUGCUGGGAGAUAGCUACAUGGUUUUGGAGGGGGCCCAGUCAUAAAGAACUUGAUGCAAGAGGAAGAUUUCAUCUUGUAUGCUUAAAAGUGAGUUCUUCAAGACUUGGUUGUGUGAAAAUACAAGGAAGCCUAAACAAGAAAGCACCACGAUUAAAACCCCUCUUUUAAAUGUCUGUCUCAAAUAGAGGAAGAUUGAUUUCACUCCAUGUUCUCUGGAUAGGCCAUUUCUACUAAGAGAAAUGAUUUUACUGAUGAUUUCUACUGAUUAGUUGCUUCUCUGUGGUUGGAUAUAUAUUAAAAGAAAGAUAUAUAUAUAUAUAUAUAAUUAUUGUAUACAAAUAUGUAAGUUUCUGCUCUUUUGUAAUUUACACAGACAACAGAGCCAUGAGCUAUGAAACUAGUACAACACCUAGCAGUAAAAUGCCUACAAUUUGUUAUGCAGUUAAUUUACAAUUUUAGUUCCUUUUUCUUAAGAAAUACAGAUUCCUUUAAAAGUACUUACUUAGCAUUAA